This is a long non-coding RNA of Mugil cephalus (flathead mullet), 3272 nucleotides long. RefSeq lists it as uncharacterized. The record is from RefSeq and is a predicted model, not a curated record. Lineage: Eukaryota; Metazoa; Chordata; Actinopteri; Mugiliformes; Mugilidae. The transcript is spliced from 4 exons.
CAUGAAAGCAGCCUCACCUGAUUGGUUAAGGAUUCUUUUUUUUUCCACCAAGAGACCCAACAACAAUACCUGGCUUCCCUUCAGACAACAGAGCAAUACAGUAUUUGGCCAUGUAAGGUUUAGAAGAGAAAGAGAAGAGAAAUGAGGAAGAGAUGAAGUGACACAAGAGAGCAGAGAUGGGAUCAAGUCACCCAUGUGCAAGUCUCAAACUAACCUGUGCUGAACGGAACUAUGACAUUGAGAACUGGGAGCUGCUGGUGGUCAAACUUGCACUGGAAGAGUGGAGGCACUGGCUCGAGGGGGCGGAGCAUCCAUUUCAGACAGGUCUGUUUCAGAUUCCCCCUCGAGCCAGGACACCAUUUUGCCCCCAACUCGCAUUGUUGGAAUGGAGACAUGGGAGGUCGAGUUGGCCAUCCGGGAGGCUCUCCGUGUUCAGUCUGACCCUGGCAACGGUCCUCCUGGCAGGAGUUUCGUUCUUGACUUGUUGAGAACACAACUUCUGCAGUGGGGUCACUGUUCCCGUUUCACCUGUCAUCCAGGAGCUAACCAAACGCUGAAGCUUCUCAAACACUACUUAUGGUGGGCCACUACUGACUCAGACACUCGCCCCUUUGUUGCUGCCUGCCAGGUAUGUGCUCGGGGUAAGGCUACUCACACUCCUCCUGCAGGUCUCCUUUUUCCCUUGCUGGUUCCCAGCCAUCCCUGGUUGGUUCCCAGCCAUCCCUGGUCUCAUAUCACCAUAUAUUUUGUCACCUGAUUGUCUCCCUCUCAAGGUAACACUGUCAUCCUAACCAUCAUGGAUCGUUUCUCCAAAUCUGUGCAUUUUGUGGCCUUACCUGUAGUGGCUAUCUGUCUUCUGUGUCAAUAAUCAAAAAACUCAAAAAUAUCAAAACUAUAAUAAAACUAAAUCAAAUCAAAUGGCCACUGAGACACCUUGUGAGUGAAUUUAUGCAGGAUAAACAGCGUCCAUUGUCCAUGUUUCUUUGGUUUCUUUAUUCUCCAUUGGCAUGGCCCCCCAGUUCACAUCCCAGGUUUGGAGAGCCUUUUGUUCUGCUCUGGGGGAGUCUGUCAGCCUGUCCUCUGGUUUCCAUCCCUAAUCUAAUGGCCAAGCAGAAAGAGCUAAACAAGACCUUUAAGCUGCUCUGCAAUGCGUAACAGUUCAAAAUCCAGCAUCAUGGAGUUCCCAUCUGGCUUGGAUUGAAUAUGCUCACAACUCCCUCUCCAGCUCGGCUACAGGUAUGUCCCCCUUUGAGUGGGCGCUUGGUUAUUUACCACCUUUUUCCUGCCCUGGAAGCAGAAACUGCCAUUUCGUCUGUUCAACACCAUCCUCGCCAUAGCCGUAAGGUCUGGAGGGAUGCUCGCUCCGAAGAGCGCUCCCUCUGCUCUGUCGAAGAAGAACCGUAGAUUGGCUGACCGACGCCGCAGUCCUGCUCCCACCUACAAACAAGGUACAUCCUGUGUUUCACGUCUGCUGCUCAAACCUGCAUCUGAGAGUCCUCUGUGCCCUCCGUCUGAUCCCCCUCCAUCCCUCCGGGUCGUUGAAGGCGGUCCAGUGUACUCCAUUCAGCGGCUCUUGGAUCUACAGUGCCUGGGUAGAGGGUUCCAGUACCUGGUUGACUGGGAGGGUUAGGGCCCUGAGGAGUGUUCUAUUAUUGUGGAUCCUACCAUGGUGAGAGACUUCCAUCGUGCUCAUCUCGAGAAGCCUGGUGAGUCACCAGGAGGCCAUCGUUGAGGGGGGUACUGUCAUGGCCACAUCCAGUCUCCCCUGUUCUGUUCUCUUCCCCAUUUUUUCUUUUCUUCUCCCUAGGGGCGGGUCCAGGCGUGGUCAACGGCUGCAGGGCACACACCUUUUCUCAAUCAACUCAUGACCUGUCUGUUUAAAUACACCGGCUCACUCACUCAUCGCCAGAUCUUUGCAGUUCUCAGCCCCGUUGGCUCACCUCCUAGUUUUUUCCUCGUACACUCGAACUGUUUUGCCUUCUCACUCAAUAACCAGCAAUUCUGUUUUCUCCACUUCAGACUCCAGCCCUGUUCUGCACACUGGCGCCCUGGAUCCGUUCCCAACCCUGAUCUCUGCCAUUCCUCCCUCUCCACCCAGUUCUCGUCUGGCGCUCAGAUUUUCCGGACCCUGGACUCACCUGCUUUCCCUUAUCUGCAACCCGAUCCCUAUCAAUAAAGAUCCUUUGUAAUCCGUAUUUUUGGUGUCAGCAUAUUGGAUUCACCUUGUAAUGUUCAUUGUCACGUGUUGAUGCUGCAAUUAUUUAAAUAUUUUUUGGUAUUUUGGUCCAUAUUUCUUUAGAAUGAGACAUAAUAGGAUUCACAACCUUAUCAGAAUGCUGGGAGAAACUAUUAAUAUGAGUAAAUUGGGCUGAAAGUUAUCUAUUUUGCUAAUUUGGUAAUCUCAUAAAAUAUGUGAUAUAAUCUCAAGUCUGGCAGCCCCAAUCCUCCUUUAUCCUUUGGAAAGCACAUUUUGUCCAAUCUAACCUUAAUUGCCUGCAACACUGGUUAAAAAAUUUGUGUUGGCAUUUCCUCCACAAUCCUGCUUAGUUUACAGUUUUUUACAACCGCUACAAUACUUUUAAUGCUUUUUCAAAACUCUUCACACACUUACCACAACAUCAGCCUGUGUGGGCUAUACAAUUAACACAAUUCUUCUCCUUUUGAAACAAAAUACACGCAUUUUACACGUUUAAAAUUAGUUUUAACUCCUUUUACACACAAGCUCAAUCAAGAUCCAAGCAGUAGAUGUCAACUCGUGAAUUUUCAAUUGCUUUCACAUGGUUUGUCAAAACAGAAAACCUCAUGUUGAAAACUAAUGGAUUGAUGAUUACAUUGAUCACAGCUGAUUCUGGUCUCACGUACCUCACCUGCAAAGUGAUUCAGUUUGUGUUAUUCCAUCAGUUGUCAGUGUUUUUUAUGACACUGUGCUGUGACUGACUAAAUGUUUCUGUUGGAAGACAAUGUGUGUCAGUGCUUUGGUAGAUUUGGUGAACUGUGUUAGUGUAUUAUUGUAUUUUGGAAUUCUGUGUUUAGUUACAAUGAGUGAUCUUGACAAUGAAAUUAACUGUUAGGGGAAUUGUGUGUAUUGUGUGAUGUGUGUUAACAGUUUUGAAAAAGUGUUUAAGGUUCUGACAAACGGGUCAUAGCAGUUGUAAAAAACUGUAAUCCCCAUGUAUCUCCCAUCCCUUUUGGUACCCAAAACCAAAAUUUGUUAUUAGAUAUGACCUACAUAGCCCUGAUAUAGGUAAAGGUUCUGAUUUAGUCAGUUAAUU